RNAcentral lists this ribosomal RNA (266 nucleotides) under uncultured bacterium. RNAcentral describes it as "partial 16S ribosomal RNA". It matches the Rfam family "Bacterial small subunit ribosomal RNA", at positions 793 to 1055 of the family's 1533-position model. The record is from RNAcentral.
GUCCACGCCGUAAACGAUGGAUGCUAGCCGUUGGCAGGCUUGCCUGUCAGUGGCGCAGCUAACGCAUUAAGCAUCCCGCCUGGGGAGUACGGUCGCAAGAUUAAAACUCAAAGGAAUUGACGGGGGCCCGCACAAGCGGUGGAGCAUGUGGUUCAAUUCGAAGCAACGCGAAGAACCUUACCAACCUUUGACAUGUCCCGUAUGGGUUUCAGAGAUGAGAUCCUUCAGUUCGGCUGGCGGGAACACAGGUGCUGCAUGGCUGUCGU